AGCGAACGCUGGCGGCGUGCUUAACACAUGCAAGUCGAGUGCGCGGUUCGUAGCAAUACGAACUGGCGCACGGCGCACGGGUGAGGAACACGUGGGCAACGUGCCCUCCGAUGGGGAAGUAACCCGCCGAAAGGCGGGCUAAUACCGCAUACGAUUCCGGGGACCGUCGGUUCCUGGACUGAAAGCCCGCAAGGGCGUCGGUGGA
RNAcentral lists this ribosomal RNA (205 nucleotides) under uncultured bacterium. RNAcentral's name for it is "partial 16S ribosomal RNA". It matches the Rfam family "Bacterial small subunit ribosomal RNA", at positions 29 to 225 of the family's 1533-position model. The record is from RNAcentral.